GCCAGGCCUGUUCCAUGCGGAG
RNAcentral lists this non-coding RNA (22 nucleotides) under Rattus norvegicus (Norway rat). Lineage: Eukaryota; Metazoa; Chordata; Mammalia; Rodentia; Muridae. The record is from RNAcentral.